This 503-nucleotide ribosomal RNA is filed under the name uncultured bacterium. RNAcentral's name for it is "partial 16S ribosomal RNA". It matches the Rfam family "Bacterial small subunit ribosomal RNA", at positions 30 to 523 of the family's 1533-position model. The record is from RNAcentral.
AUUGAACGCUGGCGGCAGGCUUAACACAUGCAAGUCGAGCGGGGUGAUGGUGCUUGCACUAUCACUUAGCGGCGGACGGGUGAGUAAUGCUUAGGAAUCUGCCUAUUAGUGGGGGACAACAUCUCGAAAGGGAUGCUAAUACCGCAUACGUCCUACGGGAGAAAGCAGGGGAUCACUUGUGACCUUGCGCUAAUAGAUGAGCCUAAGUCGGACUAGCUAGUUGGUGGGGUAAAGGCCGACCAAGGCGACGAUCUGUAGCGGGUCUGAGAGGAUGAUCCGCCACACUGGGACUGAGACACGGCCCAGACUCCUACGGGAGGCAGCAGUGGGGAAUAUUGGACAAGGGGGGGAACCCUGAUCCAGCCAUGCCGCGUGUGUGAAGAAGGCCUUAUGGUUGUAAAGCACUUUAAGCGAGGAGGAGGCUCUUUUGGUUAAUACCCAAGAUGAGUGGACGUUACUCGCAGAAUAAGCACCGGCUAACUCUGUGCCAGCAGCCGCCGUAA